RNAcentral lists this ribosomal RNA (451 nucleotides) under uncultured bacterium. RNAcentral describes it as "SSU rRNA". It matches the Rfam family "Bacterial small subunit ribosomal RNA", at positions 26 to 518 of the family's 1533-position model. The record is from RNAcentral.
AGAGCGAACGCUGGCGGCAUGCUUAACACAUGCAAGUCGCACGGGCAGGGGUAACUCUGUCAGUGGCGGACGGGUGAGUAACGCGUAGGUAUCUAUCCUUGGGUGGGGGACAACUGUGGGAAACUACAGCUAAUACCGCAUGAUAACUGAGGUUUAAAGGCGCAAGUCGCCUGAGGAGGAGCCUGCGUACGAUUAGCUAGUUGGUGGGGUAAAGGCCUACCAAGGCUGUGAUCGUUAGCUGGUCUGAGAGGAUGAUCAGCCACAUUGGGACUGAGACACGGCCCAAACUCCUACGGGAGGCAGCAGUGGGGAAUAUUGGACAAUGGGCGAAAGCCUGAUCCAGCAAUGCCGCGUGUGUGAAGAAGGUCUUCGGAUUGUAAAGCACUUUCGACGGGGACGAUGAUGACGGUACCGUAGAAGAAGCCCCGGCUAACUUCGCGCCAGCAGCCGC